UCUCCACAGAUGCUGCCUGACCUGCUGAGCUCCUCCAGCAUCUUGUUUUUUCAGCACUGAUCAUGAUGAGUGGAAGAGAUACAACGAACAUUUGAUGACAAAGCAUAUGGCAGUAGAAGGGAUUGGAUAUGUUCCUAACCCAAGCAGGAAUUACUUCACAUAGAAACUCAAGGCAGAAGGUGGUGGGUGAACCUAAUCCAACACGUCAACAGAUCCUUAAUAACAACUUGAGAGAAAGUACAAAUCAUGGCAAUAAUGUCAAUUACUGAAGCAAUAAAAAUAUUGUGUAU
Pristis pectinata (smalltooth sawfish) is the source of this 290-nucleotide long non-coding RNA. RefSeq lists it as uncharacterized. The record is from RefSeq and is a predicted model, not a curated record. NCBI's taxonomy places the organism in Eukaryota, Metazoa, Chordata, Chondrichthyes, Rhinopristiformes, Pristidae. The transcript has 3 exons.